This 675-nucleotide ribosomal RNA is filed under the name Triticum aestivum (bread wheat). RNAcentral's name for it is "partial small subunit ribosomal RNA". Lineage: Eukaryota; Viridiplantae; Streptophyta; Magnoliopsida; Poales; Poaceae. The record is from RNAcentral.
AUGUCCUCGUUGGGGAAUUUCUCCCGCAGGCUCUGCGAUUCCUGCUUCGACGGGGAAACGCAAACAAAAAUCAAGUUAUGGCUCAGAUGGUUGCUCCGUUAUGCCUUCCCUGCACUCAUCGUCUCAGCAGGUAGUCUGCUCCUCAUAUUACACUUCAUCAUCACCCCGCAGGUUAAGGCCUACGUUGAGGACGCCCGUCUCGACAGCUUCGCCUUCGCCGGCACGCGGGCGUCCUUCUCCGCGUACAACUUCUCCACCUCGGUCGCCCUCACAGUGCGUAACCUCAACGGGGCCAUGGCCAUCACGUACACCAGGCCCCUCGUGGCCACCUUCCUCUUCCACGACCGGCGUCUGUACAACGUCACCGUGGCCGACAAAGGGCACAGGCACAGGCCGCUCAAGAGGGAGGCGCACCUCCUCCACACCGGCGGCGAGGGCCCGUAUGUGCUCGACGCCGCAGCAGUCGAGGAGUUCAACAAGCAGAAUGCCACGGGGGUGUUCGAGGUGGAGGUGCGCCUCUCCGGGGUUAUCACCCUUGGCCUCGGCAACAAACGUGGCCUGGAGCUCAGCUGCCCGCUAACGCUCCGACGCCCGCCGCCGGGCCCUGACCCUGAUGUCGUCGUCUUCCAUGAGGUCGACUGCGAACCUGAUAAGCCCAAGAAAAUCAUCUUUUGA